CUGCAGUCGUGGGGCAGCGGGGGUAGCAAUACCCGCCGGCGACCGGCAAACGGGUGCGGAACACGUACGCAACCUUCCUUUAACUGGAGAAUAGCCCCUCGAAAGAGGGAUUAAUACUCCGUAACAUAUACAUGUGGCAUCACAAGUAUAUUAUAGCUCCGGCGGUUAAAGAUGGGCGUGCGCCUGAUUAGAUAGUUGGCGGGGUAACGGCCCACCAAGUCUGCGAUCAGUAACUGGUGUGAGAGCACGACCAGUCACACGGGCACUGAGACACGGGCCCGACUCCUACGGGAGGCAGCAGUAAGGAAUAUUGGUCAAUGGACGCAAGUCUGAACCAGCCAUGCCGCGUGGAGGAUUAAGGCCCUCUGGGUUGUAAACUCCUUUUAUCUGGGAAGAAAUGCAUUUUUUCUAAAGUGCUUGACGGUACCAGAGGAAUAAGCACCGGCUAACUCCGUGCUAGCAGCCGCGGUAAUACGGAGGGUGCAAGCGUUAUCCGGAUUCACUGGGUUUAAAGGGUGCGUAGGCGGGCAGGUAAGUCCGUGGUGAAAUCUCUGAGCUUAACUCAGAAACUGCCAUGGAUACUAUUUGUCUUGAAUAUUGUGGAGGUAAGCGGAAUAUGUCAUGUAGCGGUGAAAUGCUUAGAUAUGACAUAGAACACCAAUUGCGAAGGCAGCUUACUACACAGUUAUUGACGCUGAGGCACGAAAGCGUGGGGAUCAAACAGGAUUAGAUACCCUGGUAGUCCACGCCCUAAACGAUGAUUACUCGACAUCAGCGAUACACUGUUGGUGUCUGAGCGAAAGCAUUAAGUAAUCCACCUGGGAAGUACGAUCGCAAGAUUGAAACUCAA
Molecule: ribosomal RNA, 850 nt
Filed under: uncultured bacterium
Lineage: Bacteria
Description: bacterial SSU rRNA
Rfam family: Bacterial small subunit ribosomal RNA
Source: RNAcentral